UAGAUUUCAUAAUCAAAAUACGGCUGUUCUCUUCAAACACUGCACAGGACAAACCAUAACAAAUGUCCUGACUAUUUCACCCGCAGAUCAAAAUUUGGUGUUAUGGCCGUUGUCUUCUGCAUGUUUGUCGCUUGCAGCAAUAUGGAAAAAAUGUUGGUUCCAGACGAUUGAACCAUGGUGGUUUUAUUUACUAUGCACUAGAGUAAUUAGUGAAUGAUGUGAACAGUGAGCAGGGUUGGCUAUGAACUUUGUGGUUUUAUGUAUGUAUCAUAAUAUAACUGUUAAAAUAACUUUACAAGUCUGGCUACGAACAGGGUUGAUGUUCCAAAUCGUUUGCAUGCACCAACUUUACGACUCAUCUUUUUUGUUUCCAAAAAGUAAUCAAGCAGCAGGACCGAUCCAGCGAUGGCAGUGACUAGCUUCUCUUGCCAAGGUCAAACUUGGUCGCCUUGGCCUUCACAUUGGCGAAGGUGUGUCCUGGCUAGCGGUGUAGAGUGCUUGACCAUCUGGGCGCGCCUAUGGAACUUGCACAGCUCGAACUCAUACAUGCACGUGGAGUUGGAUUCCUCUCCCAAUUCCAAGAUUCAAAGUUGUUUCCAGGAAACUUUCUCAUCCAGCAGGGCGUGUAAGGGAAAGCUGCAUCCUUCUCUCUGCAUGGUAGUUCACAGACGGGUUCGAAAUCUGCUCGACACACAUUGCCCAAGUCCUGAAUUUUUGAGAUGUUCCAGUCAUAGGCCAUUCCUCUUGCUUCUUUCCUUGAUGAAAUCUUCAUCAAUAAGACGAUCUCGUUUUCGCCCGGUUUUCCGUUGAUUAACUGGGCAAUUCUUUUCUGCUUAAUUAAUUGAUGAGGCAAAUCUUUUGCCUCCAUUUUGAAAAAAAAAGACGAUCUCUUUAGAACUUAGAAGGAUGAAACCCAACUACCCAAGGAAGUAAUAAUCUCUGCUGUAUCCCUCUUCAACAGCGUAUUCAAUGUCAAGAAAGUUAUCCUCGCUAAAGUUCCAGUCAGGAUUUUAAAACAUUUUCCUCUCUUUUACACGUAGGACCCCAACGAUGACAACAAGAACACAAUUGGGUACUGUACACAUAGCGACAUCAUCGGAGAUGCUUUGGCCACCAUCUCCGGUGCAAUCCUUGCCGAUAGCAGGCAAGGAAAUAAGGGCCUCCCUAUGGAGGUUGAACCGAUGUUUUUCUUUUCUCGUUUAUGUUUUUACCGGGGUGACCAGGUAAAACUGGCUAUUCGAAAAUCUUAUAAUAUUUGAAUCAUUUUGCUUGAAAUAUCCAAUGAAAAUUGAAUUUAAAAUAUUUUAGCACCCAAAUGUAUGGCAUUUAAUGUAUCAUAUAUAAAAAUUAAUUGUUGUUCUAGUGGUUAGUGAGCUGCCUUUUCUCCCCAAGGGCGUAGGUUCAAUUCCUCACUCAUUCGCCAAUCACCUUUUUUUCAAGUGCGAGUACGCUCGUCUCCAACUUGCCUAGAACAGUUUGCCUUUAUAAGCCAUACAAAUUCUAUUUCAAACCAUCCCGUCGUACGACACCAAAUUUUUUGGGGACCAACGGCAUUUCUAGUAACCGGCCCGUUACCGAAAAAUCCAAUCGAAAAAGCACCUUGGGUUGAAAAGCAGAAUUGGAAGCAUUUUUUCCUUCGAUCUUCAGCUUUCAAAGCCAAGGCCAGUGCGGUGGCUAUACCCUAUGGAGCGCCAGAUCUAAACGAGCCAAGCGUAGAUCCGUCGUCUUCCCCUCCAUCUCUAUGCUGGCCAAGGAAGACGGGAGAGACGAUCGCAUCAGCUUGGUCUCGCUAGCUGUCGAGUUUAUUGGAGGAGCCUUCACCAGAUCCAUCACCAACGACCAUCAUCAAUCAUAGAAUAUGACCAAUAGAGAGAGAGCCGAUGACCACCAAGAGCCGCCGUGAGCGCCAGGGCACAACUCAAGUACGGCAUCAAGCCAAUUGCCCUAAGGCGAACCUAGACCUAGACCUAACCCUACACUAACUACGCAAAAUGGCGCCCCAACUGCUUCUCUUAUCCCCGCUGUGUUGCGCAAUGUGUGAUCCCCCAAUUUGAGAAUGUCAGACUGGUGAGAACGCUCCCUGUGCGAAACUGCAUCCUGUUUGCUUUAGUAAGGACAUUAUUGAUUAAUGGAGGAAAUGCCUCAAUAUUGCAACAUAACCACUUUAAACGAUGGAAUUGGCAAAUGGUAGUAUACAUUAUAAGGUGGUGCUUCCCUGGUUCUGAUUUUACCAGUACCCACAAAACAACAGACCACAUAUAUACCUGAUUACUAACUGAGAUGACAAUAGUAUACUUUAUCCUAAUUAGGUGGCUGCAACACGAAUGGUCAAAAUAACCCAAAUAGGACCAAAUGCAUAACCUUAUUACACUAAAAGAACACCAAGACGAAUGUAUAUUGAGUUGAUUAGAAGUAGCAGCAUCUAUCACAUAUAGAUAACAAAAUCACUUUUACUACUGGAAGGAACCAUUUGUAUUACAAAAUAUUCCACUAACUUCAGCGGCAAAUGUCGUUUUAUGUACUAUCGUAACAGCAAAGUAGUUUUACAGUGCCAAAGUCCUUAAAUAGCUGACGAGUCUGGAUCCACACACCGAAGGAAAAACAGUUCGAAUAAUUCCUACUGAGAAUGUAGGUAUUUUGACUUAUUCAAGCUUACCAAGCCGCUAUACGGCGCGUCUACGACGAUUCUUGGCGUUAGAUUCCUUGACUCUCUUGGUGUGCCCGCGAUGCUUGCGCAGCUCAUACUCGUCCAUGAAGGUAAAGGUGGCUUUCUCUUUACGUUGAGAUUUCUGUUCCAACUUUUUUCUAUAUAGUUUCUCAUCUUCAAGUAGAGAUUCUAAUUCGUUACCAGCAAACACACCCAUCCAACAAGGCGUGUAUGGGAAAGAUGAGUCCGUCUCUCCGCAUGGUCGUCUGUCGAAGUCGUCGUAAUCUGUCGGACAUGAAGUGCCCAAAUCCUGGAAUUUCGAGUUGUUCCAGUCAUAGGCCAGUCCCCUGGCUGAUAUCCCUGAUGCAAUCAAGAAGACAACCUCUUUACAAGGAUGAAACCCAAGGAAAUAAUAGUUGUCACGGCAACCCCCUUGAACAUCAUCUUCAUUGUCAAGAAUGUUAUCCUCGUCGGAGUUCCAAUCAUAUUUCUCUUCCACCGGCGCUUUGUAAUUUGCAUGUGUUGUGUAAUCCUCAGGGUAUUUGAAAGACCACUUACAGUAGUUAACAUCCUGCAAGAUCCAUCGUUUGGCCAGUUGUCGAGCAUAGUCCUCACGUUCAAAGGUCUUUCCAAGAAAGGUAUCAUGUUUUAACACCCACUCAAUUCGACCGUACGAUUCAUUGAGAUACCAAAGCUGAAGUUGACUCCAGCCAUUAAUAAGUAUCGCACAAUAAACCCCUCCCAGUGAUCUCCCCAGAUGGUGGUUCGGAUAACCUCUCAAUUCACAGGCACCUGGUAGCUUGAUUAUUUUGUACGUGAGAUCUGACAAGGACAUCCUGCAAAUAUGAACCAUCGGAUAAACAGCUUAACAACAACAUAAGCGGAUCAUGCUGCUAGUAGUAUAUAUUUGCUAAAUUAGGAUGACCACCGAGGAGCAAGUAAGUACUUCCUCCGUUCCUAAAUAUAAGUCUUUCUAGAGAUUCCAUCAAGUGACUACAUACGGAGCAAAAUGGAUGAAUCUACACUAAAAUAUGUCUACAUACAUCCAUAUGUUGCAUUUCAUUUGAAAUGUCUAAAAAGACUUAUAUUUAGGAACGGAGGGAGUAGUUACCUCGCAAGAUAGCCAUGCUGGCAAUGAAUGUAGAGCGUGCUUUGCCAGUAGACGGCAUGAUAACGAUGCUGUUUAUACCACAAAUCCGAAUCCAUGUUGCCGACGAUCCCUGCAGCCUCCCCUUUCCGAAGGAAGGUCGUCUCGUCCCACCGUUGUGUCACCGAAGAGAACACAUGCAUCACGUAUGACGCGGGAGGCCACUCGUCGUCGUCCGAUUCGUCCUCAUCCGAUUCGCCGGCCGCUGGCAAGCGUGGGAUCAGAAAGACCUGGUAGUGCGUCGACACGGCGGGAUCGAACACGAGGUAGGCGGUCUGAUCGAAUCCCGGCAUGUGCGGCCGAGGGCGUUGGGGCAGACGCGCCCACCGAUGCGUGGCCGGGUUGACGACGUACUCACGCGGCAGCGCACGGUCCUCGUUCAUCCGUUCGCCGCAGAGCAGGAGCCCGUUGCAAUGGUCCGUGACCUGGACGCCCAUGCAGGGCAGGAAGUCGAGCCCCCCGCAAAUCGCCGGGCCCGUCGAGGGGCGGGAGAAGAACUCGGAGAAGCAGCUAUGCUGGUUGAAGUUGAUGAAGAUGCCGCGCACCGAGCGCGAGAGCAGGCUGCCGCGCAGGCGGGCGUCGACGGCGUCGCGCCACGCCUUGCAGACCCGCCGGGCCGCGGCCAGGACGUGCGGCGCGAGGCGCCGGAGGACCUCCGCGAGGGCGUCGUCGGGUAGCACGGCCGGCUCCGGUGCCAUCAUCGGUCGGUCGCUCUAUCUCGUUCGCGCCGCUCGGUCUGGUUUUCCCGUCGUCCGCGAUCGCGCACGCGCAACGCGGUGUUCUAGGGCUUGUAAGUUGUUGGCGAAUUGUAUAUUGGAACGAGGUGCAAACAAACCUCGGACUGUUGAUGUAUGGGACUGCUUGCCGGCCCGGAGUAUAUAUUGGAGAUCAAAGCGUUAGUUAGUUGGAAAUUGGGAUCUGUCUAAGGGCGUGUACAAUGGUUGAUAAGAUAGUCUUAUCUUAAGUCUUGCAUGUAAUUUAGAAAUGACAAAAAUUUGUGUGUACAAUGGGUCAUCUCUAAGCCUUAUCUUCAAUAACUAGCUAUUCCUAGAAACAUGGUGAGACAAAUUGUGCUAAGAGAUCAUCUCUUGUCUUCUCUUAAAUAAGAGAAGACAAGCCUUUUCUUAUGAUUUCUCUCUCCUCCACCUCAUCGUUUAUCCUACGUGUCAUUGCUAAGAUAGAACCAUUGUACAUGCCCUAACCGUAAGAUUGCGGAUAGAUGCUAGGGCCGCCUUUGAAUGGGUCUCGUUUUCGCGUUGACCGUAAGGAACCACUGGGAAUAGCUUAGGGACGGAGGCGUUGACACCUCGUACUAUUUUUUUUCGAAGACACAUCCUACCAUGGAGGAAUUGACCCGGGCUCGGUGGCUGAUGCCAGGCUAGGAGUGGAAGGAUGGGUCUUCCACUCUUCAUACCAUGGUCGGUGCGUUGUGAUGUUGAUGGUUGGCGGUGGCUCGGGACAUGGAUGCCGAUGCGGCACCCGGGUUGGUGGUUCACAUGGUGGGUCUCCUGCGGGCACCAUGCCGGUAGUGGUGGCUAUGCCGCUUGGUCGUCCGAACGGCGAGGCGUGUAGCGGUGGGUGGCAGGCUCGCUAUUUGUCGUUGACAGUAGCGACGCCUAGAUCCGGAUCUGGAGACUUGUAUUCGUCACGGUUGUUUCGGGUGCUUCAUGGUAGCAUGGGUGAGAUGCUGAGCGAAAGUUUUGUGUUGUGAUGCCGACAACGGCAACACAUGCGGGCGCUUCUAUAUCUCAAAGACGUUGUCGUGGUUCUCCUCUUCAUGUCAGGGUUUCAAGUGAAAACCCUUCUCCAUUUCGGGCUCGGUGGGGACAACACUUAGCGUGGUUACCUUUCCCGAGGGCGUUGUCGUGGAGCUUAGGCGUCCUAAGUGGAGUUGUAUUUAGGUCGCCCUGUGUUUUCUUCGCUAGUAGUCGCGUGCAGUUGUCCGGUUAUCUCAGUAUCUGCUUUGUAAGAGGUCUAACUCACGCCGUGUCUUGUUCGGAUGUGUAUCUUUGAUUUGUGCUUUAUUUAUAAAGCAGGACGAGAGCCCUAUUCUAGAGAAGCAUGCAUACAACAUGUCAUAUGUGGGUUCUUUUAAAGAAAAUGAUUUGAAAAUUUCUCACGGCGUGGUCACAGUAUGCGGGUUCCUAAUUAAGGGUCCAGCGUCUUUUUUUUAACAGUGUACAUAAUGAUCCCUGUUGCUUUCCAGCUGUGAAUACGUACGUACCUGUGAUGCCGAUCAGAGGGCUCUGCAUGCACCGCCGGCCGGAUGCAUCGAUCCCAACAAACAAAUACUGCAUCGACCUUAACCAGACCGGCCAAACCCUAGAAAAUAUCCAAGCACAGAUCGAUCGAUCGAUCGAUUGAGGGCACACGAAGCAGAUGGCCGACGGCGAUCUGGAGCUGGUGGUACCGGAGGCCGACGACCGUAGCAGAUGGGCAGUGACGUUCCUAGUGGGCUGCGCCGGCGUCUUGGUUGUUUGCAUCUCCACCACCUUUCCAACGACCGAUGAGGGCCUCCUCAUGACGCUCCUCUCGCUUCUGCCCAUCUUGCUCGGCUUCAGUCUUUGCUCCCUUUCAUGCCUUUUCCUUAUGGACAGGUAUAUGGUUGGUCUUAUUCCGGAGGGUGAACUAAGGCUAGUUGAUAGACUUUUGUUGCUCUAGUAAUUAAUUCAGAAUGAUUGAUUCUGUCAACCACAUGGAGCCUGUGGUGAACCUCCUCAACCUCAAGAUUGGCCAGCUAAAUCUCUUGAAAGAGAAGGUGCGUGUGUACAUUCGUAGGUGUGAGUGUCUGAGUUUGUACCAUGUUUCUAAAUAACAGUUAAUUCAUAUAUAUCCAUCGAGACAUUCAUUUAUCUAUCUGUGACUAAUUGUGCAUUUAUCAAUUAAUGUCACAUUAGAUCCUUCUAUAUCCGUAUGUACAUUUUACUUUUUUUGAGCAAGCAUAACGGCACUCGCAAAUGCGAGGACAUCAUCUUUAGGGUGCUGAAGAUAAAAAUAAUUUUCUGCUUUCAUGCACAUUCAUAUUAUGCCACUAAUAAUACUAUAUGAUAUGCUUGUAUAAUUAACUACCACAAAUGAUAUACAAAGUGACCGAUUUGCUAGUUCACAUCUACUCCCUCCGUUUCAAAAUAGGUGACCCAAUUUUGUAUUAACUUUGUACUAAACUUAGUACAAAAUCGAGUCAUCUAUUUUAAAACGGAGGGAGUAGAUGUGAAUUAGUUAUGUCACAUCUAACUCCUGUGCCGUCUGAUUUCCAUGUGCUAAGAUUAGUUUUUUUUGUCGAUGGCCUGGCUUGUCGCGGUGUCGUCUGAUUUCCAUGUGCUAAGAUUAGUUUUUUUUGGAACGGAGGCUUCAGAGGAGCCCGACUUUGAAUUAACAAAGCCAUCAACCGGCCAGGAGUACAGAAGCAGACCACACACAAAGCAACGGCUAAAGGAUACAAGGGAGAAAGAAGAACAGCUUACAACGCUACACCUACAACUAGCGAACAGAAAAUUACAUUGAAGUGCAGCUAAUUGAGGAUAAGCCCACUACACAAAGGCCCUGAAACGACUACGGAAGAAGCCACGAGGAUCUGCAGCCGCCAGAAUAGGUCGGGCACAUGACUGAAACUAGGAACUGGAGAUGACACAACACACGGCUUCUCUAACACCGAAGGGGAACCCUUCCCCUCGCCCAGGCUCGAAGGCGCCGAACCAUCGAAGUGUAGAGAUACUCACCCGAGAGCUAAAGCUAGGUUGGGCUCAAGUCCGGGCCAGCCAUGGACCACCACCAACAUCAUGCCGGAGCAUACACACGCUAGCUGCAACGCAGGUGUCGAAGGGUACCGAUGGAAGAGGGUAAGCCGCCGGGAGAGUCGUCGAAAGGAAGAAGCUGCCAAGCCACAUGGCGAAGAUUAGGCUCGAGGAACUCAAGAACUAGCCGAAUCGUCGGCACCAACGGUGCUGCUGCUGCCGAGAAGGGGAACCCGAUCCCCUUCGACCCAGUCUCGAGGGCGCCGACCCGCCAGGGCAUUGCAAAACACCACCGCUGAGCAACUUGUGGCUGAAUCUGAAACCUGCACAGAAGAUAUGCCAUCGACUCCACAGACGCCAGACGCCCACCUGCAACUGCUAUACGCCCCCAAAGCACCAACCUUCCCCAGACGACACGUCCAUGGAGGACACAACGCACCAGGCGCCGCCGCCACCCAUCGCACGCCGGGAUUUGAGCUUUCGCCCGAGAGGCAUGGUUGGGGUGUGGACGGGAGCCCACGGCUGCGACUCCAACGAGCAAAAUGACCCAAAAGGGCCGCCGCCGCUGCCGUGCUGGGCAUACCAACAGGGGUUUCCCCCGGGUUCGUCCAGCACCACCAGCUCGGGGAACACCCCGCCGACACCAGAUCCGGCGACCAGAGGCCCGGAAUCAGGCGAAUCCAGCGAGGGAGAGUAGAGAGAGGGAAAACCUGUCGUUCAGAUCUAGAGUAGAGGAGGGGGAACCUCGCCGCGCCACAACCACUGCCCGCCAGGAAACCCUAGGGGCCCUCGGGUCGCCCCGGGGAGGACGACGCGAGGGGAGGGGAGGGGGCGCCUGGUGAUGCAGCUUGAAGCUACGUCGGUAUUUCCCCAAAGAGGAAGGGAUGAUGCAGCACAUCGGCGGUAGGUAUUUCCCUCCAUUAUGAGAUCAAGGUUAUCAAACGAGUAGGAGAACCAAGCAACACAACAUAAACAACACCUGCACACAAAUAACAAUUACUCGCAACCCGACGUGUAAAAGGGGUUGUCAAUCCCUUCCAGGUAGCGACGCCUCAAGAUAGGCAAACCAACGUGAAUAAAAUUGUAGUAGAUUGAUAGAUCGAACGCCAAAUAAAAUAAAUAAGAAUAAAUUGCAGCAAGGUAUUUUUGUAUUUUUGGUUUAAUAGAUCUUAAAAUAAAAGCAAAGGAAAAUAGACUGCAAAGGCAAAUAAUAUGAGAAAGAGACCCGGGGGCCGUAGGUUUCACUAGUGGCUUCUCUCGAGAAAAUAGCAAACGGUGGGUAAACAAAUUACUGUUGGGCAAUUGAUAGAACUUCAAAUAAUCAUGACGAUAUCCAGGCAAUGAUCAUUAUAUAGGAAUCAUGUCCAAGGAAUCAUGUCCAAGAUUAGUAGACCGACUCCUGCCUGCAUCUACUACUAUUACUCCACACAUCGACCGCUAUCCAGCAUGCAUCUAGUGUAUUAAGUUCAUGAAGAAACAGAGUAAUGCAAUAAGAACGAUGACAUGAUGUAGACAAGAUCUAUCUAUGUAGAGAUAGACCCCAUCGUUUUAUCCUUAGUAGCAAUGAUACAUAUGUGUCGGUUCCCCUUCUGUCACUGGGAUCAAGCACCGUAAGAUCGAACCCACUACAAAGCACCUCUUCCCAUUGCAAGAUAAAUAGAUCAAGUUGGCCAAACAAAACCCAAAUAUCGGAGAAGAAAUACGAGGCUAUAAGCAAUCACGCAUAAAAGAGAUCAAAGAAACUCAAAUACUUUCAUGGAUAUAAAAAGAUAGAUCUGAUAAUAAACUCAAAGUUCAUCGGAUCCCAACAAACACACCGCAAAAAGAGUUACAUCAUAUGGAUCUCCAAGAGACCAUUGUAUUGAGAAUUCAGCGAGAGAGAGGAAGCCAUCUAGCUUCUAACUACGGACCCGAAGGUCUACAAAGAACUACUCACGCAUCAUCAGAGAGGCACCAAUGGAGGUGGUGAACCCCAUUCGUGAUGAUGUCUAGAUUGGGCUGGUGGUUCUGGACUUUGCGGCGGCUGGAAUUGAUUUUCGCCGACUCCCCUAGGGUUUGUGGAAUAUUGGGGUAUUUAUAGAGCAAAGAGGCGGUCCCAUGGGCACCCGAGGUGGGCACAACCCACCAGGGCGCGCCUGGGCCUCCUGGCGCGCCCUGGUGGGUUGUGCUCUCCUCGGAGCACCCCCAGGCACAGCCUUGGCCCAUUAGGUGUCUUUUGGUCCAAAAAAAUUCUCCGUAAAGUUUCGUUGCAUUUGGACUCCGUUCGGUAUUGAUUUCCUGCGAUGUACAUGCAGAAAACAGCAACUCGCACUUGGCACUAUGUCAAUAUGUUAGUACCAAAAAUGAUAUAAAAUGACUAUAAAAUGAAUAUAAACAUCCAAGAUUGAUAAUAUAACAACAUGGAACAAUAAAAAAUUAUAGAUACGUUGGAGACAUAUCAGUUGGUUGUGUUUUGUUUGCCUUUUUCCGUUUGACUCAUGUUGGCAAUGUUAGUUACAAUGCUUUCUUACACUACAGGGUUUUGCACGUCUAAGUGCUGUUUAUGGUGGCACUUACAUGUUAAGUAAGCCAGAAUGCAAGGUAUUAUUUGUCACCUACCUAUUAGUAACCCACAUAAUCUGUAUGGUAAAUCACAAUUUCUUUCACCUGUGCCACCUAAUUCAUGUAGGUUGAAUUCGACAUGGAAGGAAAAGUGUGUGGUGUUACAUCAGAAGGUGAAACCACAAAAUGCAAGAAAGUUGUCUGCGAUCCAUCGUACUUGACCAACAAGGUGAAUAUUCUUCUUGCCCGCACUCUGUCAAGUUUAAUACAUGGCAAACAUUUAGUCUAACUUUGGCCUUUUAUCUUAAUUAUUCACUUCCCUUCCUUAGAAGUUCAUAUUUACUACAACCUCAUCUGGCACUUUUGUUAUGCAUUGCUUCCAAUGAUGAUGUUUUGCUCAUGUUUUUCAACAGGUCAGGAAGAUCGACAAAGUUGCACGUGCAAUUGCUAUUAUGAGUCAUCCAAUCCCAAAUACAAAUGAGUCCCACUCAGUCCAGAUUAUUUUGCCACAGAAACAACUUGGACGCAAUUCAGACAUGUGAGGCCUAUUUCAAGCCCAAACAAUUUUCAUUUGAUGGAUGACUAGAUUUACCUCUCAUCACUUGAUUGAAUGAUUACACAAUCCUUUCUUUUGCGAUGGAAAUGAUUACACAAUCCUCAUUUAUGAUAUUUCUGUUGGUCUCCUCUUGUUACGUAUGUCUUCUGUUGCUCAUACACCCACAAUGUUGCACCAAAAGGGAAGUUCAUUGCAUUUGUCUUUGCAGAAGCGGAGAGUGAUAAUAUACAAUCUGAACUCAAGCCUGCCAUUGAUCUACUUUGUCCAGUAGAUGAGCUCUUUUUUAUAUGUAUGACAUAUAUGAACUAGUGAACGGACAAUCUCUUGAUAAUUGCUUCGUCAUAACGGUAAAUUUUGCAGUAUAUGUAUCAUAACAAGAGGUUUUGUUUAUGUUUAGGUUGUUAUAGAUGUUUAUGACAAUUUAUUUCUUUGUAGAGCUAUGAUGCUACCACACAUUUUGAGACAACCAUUGUCGGAUAUCGGGUUCCGGCAAAACCCUUAAGGUUCGAACACUGGGGUGCACACGAAGAUCUCCUCCUACCGAAUCUCGCUCUUAGCCUCGCCGCGAUCCCUAAGCUAGAUCGAUGAACAACACAAGAGACACAAGAUUUAUACAGGUUCAGGCCACCGUUGUGGUGUAAUACCCUACUCCUGUGUGUGGUGGUGGAUUGUCUCUUUUGCUGAUGAUGAACAGUACAGAGUAAGAACAACCUCGCGAGGAGAGGUGUUCUUGGCUAGUGUGGUGUUCUGCUUGGGCAGGGUUCGAUCUGUCUCUAGAUGAGAUGCCUUCCUACUGUGGUGGCUAUCUCUAUUUAUAGAGGCCCUGGUACUCUUCCCAAAUAUUGAGCGGGAAGGGAUCCAACAAUGGCCAUUUUGAAAGGGGACAACUUGUACAAGCUAUCCUGACUAAAGGUGGUCUUCGCUUGCCAAAGGUGCUGGUGAUGACGCCGUCUUGGGCUCCACGGUGACCUCUGUCCUCCCGUCCUACUGGUCUUGUUCUUGUUGCACCGAUAUGGAAACCUUUGCCUGAUGCCUCAGUACUCCGCGCCUGCGCUUGCCCCCUUUGCACCAAAGAGGAAACAAGGACACUGCGCGGGCCGGCGCCCGCCUGGUCUUGAUCGUCAUGGCUUGCGUCAUGGGAACCUCGCGAGGUACCCCAUGCCUUGAUCUCUCCGCCUCCUUGUGAGCCUGCCUGGCAAGACCACUCCUAAGGAGGCCUUGUGCCGUCCGCCCCGCGAGGCUUGGCCCCUCGUGAGGGUCUUGAGUGUUGGUUGAUGAAGACGGGCCAUACUGGGCCAUCGAUUGAGCCACGACGCAGGCAGGCAAGUCUGGGGACCCCCGUUCCCAGAACACCGACAGUAGGCCCCGGGCCCAAGGUGCACUCGGACUUGGCUUAGCAGCAGAGCCAAAGGGCAAGUGUGGAGAGCCGCGGGCCCCAACAGCCUGCGGCCUUGGUUGACGCGUGGCGACUAAUUGGACGUGGGCGUCUCCUUUUCCCCACGCUGCCUCGGCAACUGCCUGACUGACAAAAGACUGGCGUGGGCAUGGCUUGCCUUCAUUGCUCUCCUUCGUUUUGCUCCAGAUCCCCUUCCUUGCUUCCUUGCUCCCGAAAUCUCCAGAACCGCUCCACUCCUUCCCUUUCAGCAAGCGAUGGUGCCCCGCAAGGUCAAGGUUGAUGCACUUCCGGCUUGGUAUUUGCCGGCCCUGGAUGCCCCCAAUGUGUCGGAGAAGAAUCUCGCCGCCACGCGCCCGAUGACGGCGGUGGAGGGCAGCGAGAGGGGGGAGACCGAACUCCGGGCUGGCUCCACCGAGCCGGAGGCUAAGGGGAGCACUUUCUACCCCUUCUUCGUGAACGCCAUUGUUGCAGGCCUGGUUCCUCUCUUCUCUGACUUCUUCUACGCUGUCCUCCGCCAUUAUAGGUUGCAUGCCCUUCACCUCCAUCCCAACUCCGUUCUCCUCUUGUUGAUUUUCGCCUACUACUGUGAUGCACAUGUUGGGGUGAUGCCGUCCGUGGCUCUACUGCGCCACUUCUUCUCUCUCCGAAUCAACGGCGACCACUCCUCGGCGUAACUUUGUCGCGUACGGAAAGGCCAACACGACCUCGAAGGCCUGGAAGAGGGCCGAGAACUUCCGGAGCAAGUGGGUCAUGGUGAAUGCCAAGUGCGUCCACCCCCGGUUGACGCUGCCAAUGGAAGCGCCCCAGCCUGACGAAGGGUGGUCUCGCGCGAAGCUUGCUGACGAUUGGGCGAAGUUGGUGCUGGAGAAGAUGAACGCCGAUUUGAAGCCGGGCAAUGUGAAGGUGGCGAAGCUGGCGGGGGCCACGCUCCUGAGGGAGUUCCUGACGCAGCGGGUGGCUCCGCUUCAGGCGCACUCGCGCCCCUUAUGGACGCUUGGGGAUGCAGACGACAAGCUCCGCCUGAAUCCGGUGGCUCUGGCUGACGAUGAACUGGCCUUAGCUCUUCGCCUCUUGGUAGUAACUUGAUAUGAAGUUUCAUGAUCAUCAUUAUUAACUUCCUCACUAGUUGGUGUAGGCAUCACUGGAACUAAUUUCAGUGAUGAACCAUUUUUCAAUUCGGGAGAAGGUACAACUACCUCAUAAAGUUUUACUUUCCUCCCACUCACUUCUUUCUAGAGAAACUCCUUCUCUAGAAAGGAUCCAUUCUUAGCAACAUAUAUCUUGCCUUCGGAUCUGUGAUAGAAGGUGUACCCAACAGUUUCCUUAGGGUAUCCUAUGAAGACGCAUUUCUCCGAUUUGGAUUCAAGCUUAUCAGGUUGGAACUUUUCACAUAAGCAUCACUACCCCAAACUUUAAGAAACGACAGCUUAGGUUUCUUGCCAAACCACAAUUCAUAUGGUGUCGUAUCAACGGAUUUAUAUGAUGCCCUAUUUAACGUGAAUGCAACUGUCUCUAAUGCAUACCCCCAAUAGAUAGUGGUAAAUCGGUAAGAGACAUCAUAGAUUGCACAUAUCUAAUAAAGUAUGGUUACGACGUUCAGACACACCAUUAUGCUGUGGUGUUCCAGGUGGCAUGAGUUUGUGAAACUAUUCCACAUUGUUUUAAUUUAAGGCCAAACUCGUAACUCAAAUAUUCGCUUAUGCGAUCAGAUCGUAGAAAUUUUAUUUUCUUGUUACGAUGAUUCUCCACUUCACUCUGAAAUUCUUUGAACUUUUCAAAUGUUUUAGACUUGUGUUUCGUCGAGUAGAUAUACCCAUAUAUGCUCAAAUCAUUUGUGAAGGUCAAAAAACACUGAUUCACGCCAUGAGCCUCAACACUCAUCGGACCACAUACAUUAGUAUGUAUUAUUUCCAAUAAGUCAGUGGCUCGCUCCAUUGUUUCGAAGAACAGAGUCUUAGUCAUCUUGCCCAUGAGGCAUGGUUCGCAAGCAUCAAAUGAUUCAUAACCAAGUGAUUCCAAAAGUCCAUCCGCAUGGAGUUUCUUCAUGCGCUUUACACCAAUAUGACCUAAACGACAGUGCCACUAGUAUGUUGCACUAUCAUUAUCAACUUUGCAUCUUUUGGCAUCAAUAUCAUGAAUAUGUGUAUCACUAUGAUCGAGAUUCAAUAAACCAUUCACCUUGGGUGUAUGACCAUAGAAGGUUUUAUUCAUGUAAACAGAAUAACAAUUAUUCUUUGACUUAAAUGAAUAACUGUAUUGCAAUAAACAUGAUCCAAUCAUAUUAUGCUCAACACAAACACCAAAUAACAUUUAUUUUAUGUUCAACACUAAUCCCAAAGGUAAAGGGAGUGUGCGAUGAUGAUCUUAGCAACCUUGGAAUCACUUCCAAGACACAUCGUCACCUUGCCCUCAACUAGUCUCUUGUUCAUUUUAUAACUCUUGUUUCAAGUUACUAAUCAUAGCAACUGAACCAGUAUCAAAUACCCAGGGGCUACUAUGAAUAGUAGUAAAGUACACAUUAAUAACAUGUAUAUCAUAUAUACUUUUGUUCACUUUGCCAUCCUUCUUAUCCGCCAAGUAUUUGGGGCAGUUCCGCUUCUAGUGAUCAUUUCCUUUGCAGUAGAAGCACUCAGUUUCAGGCUUGGGUCUAGCUUUGGGCUUCUUCAUGGGAGUGGAAACUUUCUUGUCAUUCUUCUUGAAGUUCCCUUUCUUUCCCUUGCCCUUUUACUUGAAACUAGUGGUCUUGUUAACCAUCAACACUUGAUGCUAUUUCUUGAUUUCUACCUUCGCCAAUUUCAGCAUCACAAAGAGCUUGGGAAUUACUUUCGUCAUCCCUUGCAUAUUAUAGUUCAUCACUAAGUUCUAGUAACUUGGCGAUAGUGACUAGAGAACUUUGUCAAUUACUAUCUUAUCUGGAAGAUUAACUCCCACUUGAUUCAAGCAAUUGUAGUACCCAGACAAUCUGAGCACAUGCUCACUGGUUGAGCUAUUCUCCUCCAUCUUGUAGGCAACGUACUGCCAGAGGUCUCAUACAUCUCGACACGGGCAUGAGUAUGAAAUACCAAUUUCAACUCUUAGAACAUCUUAUAUGCUCCGAGGCGUUCAAAGCGUUUUUAAAGUCCCGGUUCUAAGCUGUAAAGCAUGGUGCACUAAACUAUUAAGUACUCAUCAUACCGAGCUUUGUCAAACGUUCAUAACGUGUGCAUCUGCUCCUGCAAUAGGUCUGUCACCUAGCGGUGCAUCAAGGACAUAAUUCUUCUGUGCAGCAAUGAGGAUAAUCCUCAGAUCACGGACCAAGUCCGCAUCAUUGCUACUAUCAUCUUUCAACUUCUUUUUUCUCUAGGAACAUAUCAAAAAUAAAUGAGAAGCUACAUCGCAAGCUACUGAUCUACGACAUAGAUAUGCAAAUACUAUCAGGACUAAGUUCAUGAUAAAUUAAAGUUUAAUUAAUCAUAUUACUUAAGAACUCCCACUUUGAUAGAUAUCCCUCUAAUCAUCUAAGUGAUCACGUGAUCCAUAUCAACUAAACCAUGUCCGAUCAUCACGUGAGAUGGAGUAGUAUUCAAUGGCGAACAUCACUAUGUUGAUCAUAUCUACUAUAUGAUUCACGCUCGACCUUUCGGUCUCAGUGUUCCAAGGCCAUAUCUGCAUAUGCUAGGUUCGUCAGGUUUAACCCGAGUAUUUUGCGUGUGCAAAACUGGCUUGCACACGUUGUAUGUGAACGUAGAGCUUAUCACACCCGAUCAUCACGUGGUGUCUCGGCACGACGAACUGUAGCAAUGGCGCAUACUCAGGGAGAACACUUGUACCUUGAAAUUUAGUGAGAGAUCAUCUUAUAAUGCUACCGCCGUACUAAGCAAAAUAAGAUGCAUAAAGGAUAAACAUCACAUGCAAUCAAAUAAGUGACAUGAUAUGGCCAUCAUCAUCUUGUGCCUUUGAUAUCCAUAGCCAAAGCACCGUCAUGACCACCAUCGUCACUGGCUUGACACCUUGAUCUCCAUUGAAGCAUCAUUGCCGUCUCACCAACUAUUGCUUCUACGACUAUCGCUACCACUUAGUGAUAAAGUAAAGCAAUUACAUGGCGAUUACAUUUCAUACAACAAAGCGACAACCAUAUGGCUCCUGCCAGUGGCCGAUAACCGUUACAAAACAUGAUCAUCUCAUACAAUAAUUUAUAUAUCAUCACGUCUUGACCAUAUCACAUCACAACAUGCCCUGCAAAAACAAGUUAGAUGUCCUCUACUUUGUUGUUGCAAGUUUUACGUGGCUGCUACGGGGUUCUAGCAAGAACCGUUCUUACCUAUGCAUCAAAACCACAACAAUUUUUUGUCAAGUGUGUUGUUUUAACCUUCAACAAGGACCGGGCGUAGUAAAACUUGAUUCAACUAAAGUUGGAGAAAUAGACACCCACUAGCCACCUGUGUGCGAAGCAUGUCGGUAGAACCAGUCUCAUGAACGCGGUCAUGUAAUGUUGGUCUGGGCCGCUUCAUCCAACAAUACCGCCGAAUCAAAAUAAGACAUGCUGGUAAGCAAUAUGACUAUUACCGCCCACAACUCAUUGUGUUCUACUCGUGCAUAUAACAUCUACGCAUAGACCUAGCUCGGAUGCCACUGUUGGGGAACGUAGCAUUUAAUUUUUUUGCCUACGAUCACGCAAGAUCUAUCUACGAGAAGCAUAGCAAUGAGCGGGGAGAGUGUGUCCACAUACCCUCGUAGACUGAAAGUGGAAGCGUUUAGUAACGUGGUUGAUGUAGUCGAAUGUCUUCGUGAUCCAACCGAUCAAGUACCAAACGCACGGCACCUCCACGAUCUGCACACGUUCAGCUCGGUGACGUCCCUCGAACCUUGAUCUAGUUGAGGCCGAGGGAGAGUUUCGUCAGCAUGACAACAUGGUGAUGGUGAUGAUGAAGUUCAUCGGCAUAGGGCUUCGCCUAAGCACUAUGACGAUAUGACUGAGGUGUAAAACUGUGGAGGGGAGGCACCACACACGCUAAAGAUCAACUUGUGUGUCUUUGGAGUGCCCCCUGCCCACAUAUAUAAAGGAGGGGGGAAGAGGAGGCCGGCCUAGAAGGGGCGCUGUAACGCCCACGAUGCGGCUAUAUCUCCCAUGUGUCGAAGCACGACUUAGAGGCAUAACCGCAUGGUGGUUUUGUCGCAAGAAGGGUCAUCUUCACACAAUCCCAUGUAAUGAACAAGAAUGGGAUAAAGAGAGUUGGCUUACAAUCGCCACUUCACACAGUACAUAAAUAAGUUCAUACAUCAUUCAAAAUACACUCAUAGACCGACUACGGUCAAAUCCAAAUGAAAAGAAGAUAACCCCAAAUGCUAGAUCCCUGAUCGUCCCGACUGGGCUCCACUACUGAUCAUCUGGAAACGAAACAUAGUAACGACCAAGGUCCUCAUCAAACUCCCACUUCAGCUCAGUUGCGCCACUUGCGCUGGUUUCCUCGGCACCCGCAUCUGUUUUUGGUAGAAUCUGUGAGCCACGGGGACUCAGCAAUUUCACACCCGCGAGAUCAAGACUAUUUAAGCUUGUAGGUUGGAAAGUGGUAAUAUGGUGGAGCUGCAGCAAGCACUAAGCAUAUAUGGUGGCUAACAUACGCAAGUAAGAGAGAGAAGAGAAGCAACGCAUCGGUCGAGAAGCUAGAAGUGAUCAAGAAGUGAUCCUGAAACUACUUACGUUCAUCCAUAACCCAAACCGUGUUCACUUCCUGGACUCCGCCGAGAAGAGACCAUCACGGCUACACACACGGUUUAUGCAUUUUAAUGAAGUCAAGUGUCAUGUUCUCUACAACCGGACAUUAACAAAUUCCCAUCUGCCUCAUAACCGUGGGCACGGAUUUCGAAAGAUAAUAUACCCUGCAGGGGUGUCCCAACUUAGCCCAUCACAAGCUCUCAUGGUCAAGGAAGGAUUUACCUUCUCCCGGGAAGACCCGAUCAGUCUCGGAAUCCCGGUUUGCAAGACAUUUCGACAAUGGUAAAACAAGACCAGCAAAGCCACCUGACUGUGCCGACAAAUCCCGAUAGGAGCUGCACAUAUCUCAUUCUCAAGGCACACUGGAUUGUCCAAACUUCCGAUAGGCCAUCCCAGAGUUGCCCCUAGUGGCCACCGGCGGCUGACAGGUUGGACCAACACUCACGACGAGCACUGGCCCAGGGGGAGGGGGGUAAAUAAAGAUGACCCUCGGGCUCGCGAAAACCCGAGGGAAAAAGGCUUAGGUGGCAAAUGGUAAAACCAAGGUUGGGCCUUGCUGGAGGAGUUUUAUUCAAAGUGAACUAUCAAGGGGGUCCCAUAAAUCACCCAACCGUGUAAGGAACGCAAAAUCAAGGAACAUAACACCGGUAUGACGGAAACUAGGGAGGCAAGAGUGGAACAAAACACCAGGCAUAAGGCUGAGCCUUCCACCCUUUACCAAGUAUAUAGGUGCAUUAAUUUAAACACGAGAUAUUGUGAUAUCCCAAAAUAUCCAUGUUCCAUCAAGGAACAAACUUCAUCUUCAUUUGCAACUAGCAACGCUAUAAGAGGGGCUGAGCGAAAGCGGUGACAUAGCCAAACAACGGUUUGCUAGGAAAAGAUGGUUAGAGGCUUGACAUGGCAAUGUGGGAGGCAUGAUAAACAAGUGGUAGGUAGAGCUAACAUAACGAUAGAGCGAGCAACUAGCAAAGCAAAGAUAGAAGUGAUAUCGAGGGUAUGGUCAUCUUGCCUGCAAGGUUCUCAGAGUUAUCGAAGGCUUGAUCCUCGUUAGCGUACUCAACAGGUUCCUCGUGCACGUACUCGUCUCCCGUCUCUACCCAAAGCAAGAACACAAGCAAUGGAACCACGAUAAAUCACGGUGCAAUGCACAAGCAACAUGAUGCAAAACAUGGCAUGAUAUGCGAGAUGUGAUAUGUAAUGUGUAUGCGUGCUCCAGAAGGGAAAUGAUGAACAAGGCAUCAAAUUGGCAAACCAAGUAUGCCGCUGGAAAGAUGAGAUGAUUUCGGUUGAAAUCGAUAUAAAGAUCACCAGAAUCGGAUGCACAGUUUGCAAAUGGCAAGCAAAACAAGAAUGACACAAAUCUGCGAUUAACAGCACGAUGCUACUUAGCAUGCAACAAGAAACUAUGCUACAGUACCCCAACGUAAAAACAAAGCAUAUGGCAGUGAUCUACAGGAGAUGCUUGACAAAAUAGGAACACCGAGCUACUAAAUCACACAAUAGCAGGUUCAAACAAGCAUGGCAAAAGUGCAAAAGAUAUCAGCUUGGACAUGGCAUAAACAGCAUCAGGUAGCAAUGUUCAGAGCAAGCAAUCAACAUGCUACAUGAACUUAUAAUAUCAAAACAAGACAUGGCAUGAUUCUACUCAAAGCAUAGAACAAAAGUCCCUUACUAACCAUGAGCCAAAGAGGAUUAGAAGAUAUGAUGGCACCCAUGUAAACAUAACAAGUUUCGUUAACAGAUUCAGCAAACAGAGCAUGGCAUUAACAGCACCAUGAAGGCAUCUUUGCGAGCUUGAUUCACUCACCACAAGUCAUUUCAUGACAAUAUAAGCAUAGCACCAGCAAGAAUACAUGUUUAUGAAACUAACAUGGCAAGAACAAGUUCAUAUCAUGCAAGGAUCAACUACAACAACCUUGAAAAAAUUGAAUAACAUGUAAACAAUCUGCCAGGAAACAUUUUAUAGCAAAAGUAGAGCAAGAAAAUGACAUGCUAGACCACUCCAUAAUUGCAAAUAGGGGCAUGGAUGGAUAAAUCAUAACCAUAUGUUCAAAACAUCCUUACUUAAGUAUCUCAAAAUAUGCAUGGAUCUCUCUGUAGCAUCAACUCUACAUGGCAUAAAAAUAAGAGCAGAACAGGGACCGAAAUUAGCAACAUCACGAAGCCUAGUUUGCAUUCUUGUGCUAGUCACCACAUUGAUCACAAAAAUACAUGGUAAGCACCUCUGUAAAUAUGGCAUGGCCUAGAACAAAACACCUAUAGAGCUCAUGCCCAUAAGAUGCACACAAUAAAUGUAGUAAAAAUGACAAAUGCACACAUUCUGUUAAGAAUCAGAAACUAACAUUAUACAACACUCUUGCAUCAGAGAUUUGGGCAUCUAAAUGACCUAAAAUGAACAUGGCCCAAUGGAACAAAAUGAAGAGCACAACACAACCUGAUGAACAUUUUGAUAUAUCAUAUUCAUGAAACGGAUCUACGGAUGAGGAUAUAUGGCGCAAUGAAUAUGGCAUAAAAAUAAUGCAGACUUGGCGAAAAAAAUGAGGUCAACCUCUAGGGUUCCAGAUCUGGAUCGGGAUCGCGUGGAUCGAGGCGGGCCGGCGGCGGCUCGCCGGAGUUGGUGCGAGAGGAGGCCGGAGACAGGGUCGGGGCCGGCCGGGGCGCCCGGAUCCGGCCGGGGGCGCGAUCGGCGGCGAGGACCGCGNNNNNNNNNNNNNNNNNNNNNNNNNNNNNNNNNNNNNNNNNNNNNNNNNNNNNNNNNNNNNNNNNNNNNNNNNNNNNNNNNNNNNNNNNNNNNNNNNNNNNNNNNNNNNNNNNNNNNNNNNNNNNNNNNNNNNNNNNNNNNNNNNNNNNNNNNNNNNNNNNNNNNNNNNNNNNNNNNNNNNNNNNNNNNNNNNNNNNNNNNNNNNNNNNNNNNNNNNNNNNNNNNNNNNNNNNNNNNNNNNNNNNNNNNNNNNNNNNNNNNNNNNNNNNNNNNNNNNNNNNNNNNNNNNNNNNNNNNNNNNNNNNNNNNNNNNNNNNNNNNNNNNNNNNNNNNNNNNNNNNNNNNNNNNNNNNNNNNNNNNNNNNNNNNNNNNNNNNNNNNNNNNNNNNNNNNNNNNNNNNNNNNNNNNNNNNNNNNNNNNNNNNNNNNNNNNNNNNNNNNNNNNNNNNNNNNNNNNNNNNNNNNNNNNNNNNNNNNNNNNNNNNNNNNNNNNNNNNNNNNNNNNNNNNNNNNNNNNNNNNNNNNNNNNNNNNNNNNNNNNNNNNNNNNNNNNNNNNNNNNNNNNNNNNGUGGCUGGGGCGCGGCGGCGGACGUGUCCGACUCCGCCCGGACAUGUCCGAAGGCGGAGAGGGAGCGGGCUAGGGUUUCGGGAUCCAGAAAUUUUGGAGGGGUGCACAUAUUUAUAGGUAGAGGGAGCUAGGAGACUCCAAAUGGGGUGUAGUUUUCGCCCACACGAUCGUGAUCCGACGAUGGAGAGCAUGGAAGUUACUUAGAUGGGUUUUUGGGCUGUUUUGAAGGGGUGUUGGGCUGCAACACACAAGAGGCCUUCGCGGUUACCCGGUUAACCGUUGGAGUAUCAAACGACCUCCAAAUGGCACGAAACUUGUCAGGUGGUCUACCGGUGGUGUACCAAGGCCACUUGGCAAGCCUCGGUCCAUUCCGAGAACGUUUAACACCCACUCACAAAAAGACACAAGAGGGGUGCGCCGGUGCAUGUAGGAGUGUCGGAUUGCGAAACGGCCAACAGGGAAAAUGCUUGGAUGCAUGAGGCGAACACGUAUGCAAAUGAGAUGAACAUGAUGACAUGAUAUGAGAUGCAUGACAUGAAAAAAAUGCAAAACGAAAGACAAAACCCAACCACGGAGGGAAUACCAUAGCACAUAGCCGAAAAUGGCAAGAGUUGGAGUUACAAAUAUGGAAAGUUACAUUCGGGGUGUUACAACACUCCACCACUACAAGAGGAUCUCGUCUCGAGAUCUAGGACUGAAAGAACUCCGGAUAUUUGGAACGGAGGUGAUCCUCGCGCUCCCAGGUGGCUUCUCGAUCGGAAUGGUGUGACACUUCACUUUCAGGAAUUUGAUUGACUUGUUGCGAGUCUUGUGCUCAGUUUCUUCAAGAAUAACAACGGGGCGCUCAUGAUAAGAGAGAUCUUCUUGGAGGUCAAUUUCUUCGAAGUUGAUAGUGCGCUCAGGAGUCUUGAAGCACUUGCGAAGCUGUGACACAUGAAACACAUCGUGCAUGUUCGCGAAGUUGGACGGAAGCUCAAGUUGAUAGGCGAGAUCACCUCUUUUGCCAAUGAUCUUGAAAGGACCCACGUAUCUAGGGGCAAGCUUCCCUUUGAUACCGAAGCGACGAGUGCCUUUCAUUGGAGAGACACGGAGGUAGACAUGGUCUCCGAUUUCAAAAGCCACAUCAUGGUGCUUGUCAUCAUAAUAGCUCUUCUGGCGCGAUUGCGUGGCUUUGAGAUUCUCACGAAUGACUUUGCACAUUUCCUCGGCUUCUGUGAUCAAGUCGUUGCCAAGAAGUUGGCGUUCACCUGUCUCGGACCAAUUGAGAGGAGUACGACACUUUCUGCCAUAGAGAAUUUUGAAUGGGGCCUUGCCCGAACUCGCUUGGAAGCUGUUGUUGUAGGAGAACUCAACAUAUGGAAGACAAUCUUCCCACUUCAUGCCAAAGGAAAUGACACAAGCCCUGAGCAUGUCUUCAAGGAUUUGAUUGACUCGCUCGACUUGGCCACUUGUUUGAGGAUGGAAAGCUGUACUGAAACGAAUGUUGGUGCCCAUGGCCUUCUGAAAGGAGUCCCAGAACUUAGAAGUGAAGAUGCAUCCUCGAUCUGAAGAUAUCAAUUGUGGAAUGCCGUGCAAGGAGACAAUUCUGGAGGUGUAUAGUUCUGCUAGCUGAGCUACUGUGAUAUAUUCUUUGAUAGGAAGAAAAUGAGCCACUUUAGCAAGCUUGUCAAUGACAAUGAAGAUAACAUCAUUUCCAUGCUUGGACUUAGGAAAACCAGUCACGAAGUCCAUCUCUAUAUGAUCAAACUUCCAUUUCGGAAUAGCAAGAGGUUGGAGGAGACCAGCUGGUCAUUGGUGUUCUGCUUUCACCCUUCGGCAGACAUCACAUUCAUUCACGAAUUGAGCAAUUUCUUGCUUCAUUCGAGUCCACCAAUACGACUGUUUGCGGUCAUGGUACAUCUUUGUACUUCCAGGAUGAAUGGAUAGGAGGGAAUUGUGUGCCUCGUUCAUGAUGACUUUUCUCAGAUCGCCUUUCGGAACCACAAUUCGAUCCUCAAAGAAAAGAGUAUCUUUGUCAUCCAGGCGAUAGCACUUGUAUUUGGAAAUGCCCUUAUCAAUACCACAUUUCACCUUCUUCACCAUGGUAUCCAAGAGUUGUGCCUCAAGAAUUUGAUCUUCCAAAGUAGGAGAGACUAUGAGGUUGGCAAGAAAGCCUUGAGGAACAACUUGAAGAUUCAGCUUGCGGAAAGCUUCACAAAGGUCCGGUUGGAAGGGCUUGAGAAUUAGACUGUUGCAAUAAGCAUUUCUGCUCAGAGCAUCUGCAAUCACAUUCGCCUUGCCUGGAGUAUAUUCAAUACUCGGAUUGUACUCUUGAAUCAUUUCGACCCAUCAAGUUUGCCUGAGGUUGAGGUUGGGUUGAGUGAAGAUAUACUUGAGGCUCUUGUGAUCAGUGAAAAUGUCCACUUGCCUUCCCAAUAAGAGAUGUCUCCAUGUUAUCAAUGCAUGGACAACUGCCGCCAACUCGAGAUCGUGAGUGGGGUAGUUCUUUUCAUUGGGCUUCAACUGACGAGGGGUAUAGGCCACAACUUUCUUCUCUUGCAUUAACACAACACCGAGACCUUGAAGAGAAGCAUCACAGAAAACUUCGAAUGGCUUGGAUUCAUCAGGAGGAGUCAUGACAGGAGCUGUGACUAGCUUCUCUUUGAGGGUGUUGAAAGCAACGUCACACUCAAGCGUCCAUACAUACUUGACAUGCUUUUGGAGGAGGUUGUAAAGAGGCUUUGCAAUCUUAGAGAAGUUCUCAACGAAUCUUCGGCAAUAGCUUGCAAGACCAAGAAAACUGCGGAGCUGCUUGACAUUCUGAGGAGGUUCCCAAUUCACAAUUGCAGACACCUUCUCGGGAUUAACAGCGAUGCCCUUGGCGGAGAUGAUAUGACCAAGAUAAAGAACUUCAUCAAGCCAGAACUCACAUUUGGAAAACUUCGCAUAGAAUUGAUGCUCUCUGAGCUUGUCGAGGACCAAUCGCAAAUGUUUGGCAUGAUCCUUCUUAUUCUUGGAGAAGACCAAAAUAUCAUCGAGAUACACCAGAACGAAUUCAUUGGUGUAGGGGUUGAAAAUGAAGUUCAUCAUUCGAGAGAACGUUGGAGGAGCAUUGACAAGGCCGAAAGACAUGACAGUAUAUUCAUAAGAACCAAAGCUUGUUCUGAAUGCUGUCUUGGGAAUAUCUUGUUCACGAAUGCGAAUUUGAUGAUAACCCAUACGAAGGUCAAGCUUGGAGAAUACUUUAGCACCUUUGAGUUGCUCGAAUAGCUCAUUGAUGUUGGGAAGUGGAUACUUGUUCUUGAUUGUCUUCUUGUUCAAUGGAUGGUAAUCGACACACAGUCGGUCCGUGCCAUCCUUCUUCUGGACAAAAAGAACUCCACAACCCCAUGGAGAUGAACUCGGUCUGAUCAAACCCAGACACUCUUGUUCAUCGAGCUGUUUCUUCAAUUCCUUCAGCUCUUUAGGUCCAAGCUUGUAAGGACGUUUGCAAACGGGUUCAGUGCCAGGCUCUAGAUCGAUAACGAACUCAACUGGCCGAUGAGGAGGCAUACCCGGAAGCUCUUCUGGAAAGACAUCUUGGUACUCACAAACGACUGAAAUCUGAGAGAUAGCAUCCAACUCGCCCUUCUCAUUGAGAGAAAACAACCGAAUGGUUUCAUCACGAGCGGCAUAGAUGAUAACAUCCUCAGAAGAGUGUCUCAAUUGAAUUUCCCUGGCAGCACAAUCAAGUUGAGCUUUGUGCUGAGAAAGCCAGUCCAUUCGGAGAAUAAGAUCGAUAUCAGAGUCACCAAGAACAAUUGGUUUAGCCAGAAAUUUAUAGUUCCCCAUCUUGAUGGAAACAUCCUGAACCAUGUAGCUUGCGUUCAUGCAUUUACCCGGAGAGACAACUGCUAACGGUCUAGGCAAAUCUUGGAAAGACAACUCAUGCUUAGAUGCAAAUGGUCUUGAGAUGAAACUAAGCGAUGCACCAGUGUCAAAAAGAACUUUUGCAGGAAUAUCAUUAACAGGAAGAUUACCCAUGAUCACAUCUGAAGAAUCCUCUGACUGAGCUGCAUUCAUCAUGUUGACCUUUGCAAACUUGGAAUUAUGCUUGACCACCGCAUUGCUUGAAGAUCUCACAGGAGGAGGAGGCGGAAGGCGCCUUUGGUUGAAGCACUUGUUCGCGUAGUGACCUUUCUGCUGGCACUUGUUGCAAGUCACCUCUGAGAGCGGACGGUGAUAAGGAGCAUUUGACCUUGGAGCUUGAGGCUGAGACUUGUUCUGAUAGCCUGGGUUGGGUGGGUGGGAAGAUCCACGACCACCUGAGUUCUUCUGCUGGUAAGGCUGACGAAACGGAGGAGGAGGAAGGUAGAACUUCUGCUGCUUAGCUGCCACUUGUGAGGAAGAAGAAGACUGAACUGCAUCCCUGAUUCUCUUCUUAGAAGCCUCACACUUGAGCUGAGCACCUUCUUGCUUGAGGGCCAUAUUGUAGAAUUGAUCAAACUGAGUAGGCUCAACAAGAAUGAGAGCUAACUGCAGAUCCUCUCUAAGGCCACCUCUGAAUUGAUAGAUCAUACUCUUCUCAUCAGGAACGUCUUGUUUAGCGAAGCGAGCAAGUUUUUGAAACUGCUUGUUAUAUUUGUACACUGACAUGUUGCCUUGCUUGAGAUUGCGGAACUCCUCACGCUUGCUCUCAACAACACUGGUAGGAAUGUGGUGAGCUUUAAAGUCCCGACAGAAAUCAGUCCAAGUAAUCACUCGACCUCCUCUGGAAUCCUUGUAUUGCUGGAACCAAUCAGCUGCUUGAUCCUUGAGCUGAAAAGAAGCGAACUUGACGUAGUCCUCAGGCCUGACAUUGCUGCAUUCAAAAUGCUUGUUGAUAUCCACGAGCCAAUCAUCGACGUCCGUGGCCUCGGCACAGUAGCUGAAAGACUUCGGCUGAUUUGCCAGGAAUUGGUUGAGGGUAGGAAAUUGAGGCUGAUGAUUGAACUGCCCUUGACCUUGAUUCCCUUGGUUGCCUUGGCCUUGGUUGCGCUCUUGCAUCAGCUGAAUCAACAACUGAGCGCUGGCGUUUGUGGUUGCCAUCAAAGCUUGCCAUGCCUCCGGAGGCGGAGGUGGAGGUGGAGGGUUCACCUGACUCCCAUCAUUGCGUUCCGGAUUCUAACGCGUUGGCGGAGCCAUCCUGAAGAGGGUGACAUCCGUUAGCAUCUCUAUAGACAAAUAGACAAGUUGAAUCAACGGAUAGAAAUUGCAACAUAUAGUCUUCACAAUAAACAUUCGAACAAGGAUGAACGAAUGAAUUCCAAAGUAAACAUCACGUCCAUUAAGGUGAGAAGCCACUUGAUAAGGGGUUGAUGAAUGAAAUAAACAAGGUACAACUGGAACAAAUAAGUGGUAAGGAUUACCCAAUCACAAACCAAGUAUCUGCGGGAAGAAAUGCUAGAGCUACUUGAAACCCACCUAUAAACUCCCGAAACUUUCUGGUUAUGCAAUCAGGUGUUGGGGAUACAGGGGAAGCAAUAUAUCUCACCCAAACUAACAAUCCCUACAUCCAGCUGUAUCCAUCCGUCAACACAUAACCAAGAAACCUUCGGAAAUCGUGUACCUCAACCUUCGAAAAGCAUCCGUUAUAUGAGUCAUGGCAAUACUCCCGAACUCCCCAGUACUGGGUGACGUCGAGGUUAUCUCACCAACAACUGCAUAAAAGAGAUUUUUGAUGUCGGCAAAACUCAGGUAUUCCAGAACUGCAACGAUAAAAUUGUGACGACAACACCUCGGAGCUCAACUCCCCGGGUCACUGCCACAUAAAAGACAGGAGGCACCAAUAACAAUGUUCUCGUCACAAAACCAUCGGAACGAUUCCAAGAUAUUUGCGUGAUCCUAAAUUUUUUUAGUGAAAUUUGAGGAGAGGAAAGUCAAAACAUCUACGUCAGGAGACCUCACCAGAGCGACGAAGGGACUGAGGAGUAAAAAGAAUCCUACUCUCCGAUAUAUAUAAUCCUAAGACUCAACACAUUUUUUGUUCUAGACUCAACAACGCCAGCAAUCAAUCAAGCAGGGGCUCCUAAGUCGGGGAUGGCUCUGAUUACCAACUUGUAACGCCCACGAUGUGGCUAUAUCUCCCACGUGUCGAAGCACGACUUAGAGGCAUAACCACAUGGUGGUUUUGUCGCAAGAAGGGUCAUCUUCACACAAUCCCAUGUAAUGAACAAGAAUGGGAUAAAGAGAGUUGGCUUACAAUCUCCACUUCACACAAUACAUAAAUAAGUUCAUACGUCAUUCAAAAUACACUCAUAGACCGACUACGGUCAAAUCCAAAUGAAAAGAAGAUAACCCCAAAUGCUAGAUCCCCGAUCGUCCCGACUGGGCUCCACUACUGAUCAUCUGGAAACGAAACAUAGUAACGACCAAGGUCCUCAUCAAACUCCCACUUCAGCUCAAUUGCGCCACUUGCGCUGGUUUCCUCGGCACCUGCAUAUGUUUUUGGUAGAAUCUGUGAGCCACGGGGACUCAGCAAUCUCACACCCGCGAGAUCAAGACUAUUUAAGCUUGUAGGUAGGAAAGGGGUAAUAUGGUGGAGCUACAGCAAGCACUAAGCAUAUAUGGUGGCUAACAUACGCAAGUAAGAGCGAGAAGAGAAGCAACGCGUCGGUCGAGAAACUAGAAGUGAUCAAGAAGUGAUCCUGAAACUACUUACGUUCAUCCAUAACCCAAACCGUGUUCACUUCCCGGACUCCGCCGAGAAGAGACCAUCACGGCUACACACACGGUUUAUGCAUUUUAAUGAAGUCAAGUGUCAAGUUCUCUACAACCGGACAUUAACAAAUUCCCAUCUGCCUCAUGACCGCGGGCACGGAUUUCGAAAGAUAAUAUACCCUGCAGGGGUGUCCCAACUUAGCCCAUCACAAGCUCUCAUGGUCAAUGAAGGAUAUACCUUCUCCCGGGAAGACCCGAUCAGUCUCAGAAUCCCGGUUUGCAAGACAUUUCGACAAUGGUAAAACAAGACCAGCAAAGCCACCCGACUGUGCCGACAAAUCCCGAUAGGAGCUGCACAUAUCUCGUUCUCAGGGCACACCGGAUUUUCCAAACUUCCGAUAGGCAUCCCAGAGUUGCCCCUGGUGGCCACCGGUGGCUGACAGGUUGGACCAACACUCACGACGAGCACUGGCCCNNNNNNNNNNNNNNNNNNNNNNNNNNNNNNNNNNNNNNNNNNNNNNNNNNNNNNNNNNNNNNNNNNNNNNNNNNNNNNNNNNNNNNNNNNNNNNNNNNNNNNNNNNNNNNNNNNNNNNNNNNNNNNNNNNNNNNNNNNNNNNNNNNNNNNNNNNNNNNNNNNNNNNNNNNNNNNNNNNNNNNNNNNNNNNNNNNNNNNNNNNNNNNNNNNNNNNNNNNNNNNNNNNNNNNNNNNNNNNNNNNNNNNNNNNNNNNNNNNNNNNNNNNNNNNNNNNNNNNNNCGAAAACCGGAGGGAAAAAGGCUUAGGUGGCAAAUGGUAAAACCAAGGUUGGGCCUUGCUGGAGGAGUUUUAUUCAAAGCGAACUGUCAAGGGGGUCCCAUAAAUCAGCCAACCGCGUAAGGAACGCAAAAUCAAGGAACAUAACACCGGUAUGAUGGAAACUAGGGCGGCAAGAGUGGAAGAAAACACUAGGCAUAAGGCCGAGCCUUCCACCCUUUACCAAGUAUAUAGGUGCAUUAAUUUAAACAAGAGAUAUUGUGAUAUCCCAAAAUAUCCAUGUUCCAUCAAGGAACAAACUUCAUCUUCACCUGCAACUAGUAACGCUAUAAGAGGGGCUGAGCGAAAGUGGUGACAUAGCCAAACAACGGUUUGCUAGGAAAGGAUGGUUAGAGGCUUGACAUGGCAAUGCGGGAGGCAUGAUAAACAAGUGGUAGGUAGAGCUAACAUAACGAUAGAGCAAGCAACUAGCAAAGCAAAGAUAGAAGUGAUAUCGAGGGUAUGGUCAUCUUGCCUGCAAGGUUCUCAGAGUUGUCGAAGGCUUGAUCCUUGUUAGCGUACUCAAGAGGUUCCUCGUGCACGUACUCGUCUCCCGGCUCUACCCAAAGCAAGAACACAAGCAAUGGAACCACGAUAAAUCAUGGUGCAAUGCACAAGCAACAUGAUGCAAAACAUGGCAUGAUAUGCGAGAUGUGAUAUGCAAUGCGUAUGCGUGCUCCAGAAGGGAAAUGAUUAACAAUGCAUCAACUUGGCAAACCAAGUAUGCCGCUGGAAAGAUGAGAUGAUUUCGGUUGAAAUCGAUAUAAAGAUCACCGGAAUCGGAUGCACGGUUUGCAAAUGGCAAGCAAAACAAGAAUGACACAAAUCUGCGAUUAACAACACGAUGCAACUUAGCAUGCAACAAGAAACUAUGCUACAACACCCCAACAUAAAAAAAAGCAUAUGGAAGUGAUCUAAAGGAGAUGCUUGACAAAAGAGGAACACUGAGCUACGGCUAAAUCACACAAUAGCAGGUUCAAACAAGCAUGGCAAAAGUGCAAAAGAUAUCAGCUUGGACAUGGCAUAAACAGCAUCAGGUAGCAAUGUUCAGAGCAAGCAAUCAACAUGCCACAUGAAAUUAUAAUAUCAAAACAAGACAUGGCAUGAUUCUACUCAAAGCAUAGAACAAAAGUUCCUUACUAACCAUGAGCCAAAGAGGAUUAGAACCCAUGUAAACAUAGCAAGUUUCGUUAACAGAUUCAGCAAACAGAGCAUGGCAUUAACAGCAGCAUGAAGGCAUCUUUGCGAGCUCGAUUCACUCACCACAAGUCAUUGCAUGACAAUAUAAGCAUAGCACUAGCAAGAAUACAUGUUUAUGAAACUAAACAUGGCAAGAACAAGUUCAUAUCAUGCAAGGAUCAACUAAAACAACCUUGGCAAAAUUGAAUAACAUGUAAACAAUCUGCCAGGAAACAUUUUAUAGCAAAAGUAGAGCAAGAAAAUGACAUGCUAGACUACUCCAUAAUUCCAAACAGGGGCAUGGAUGGAUAGAUCAUAACCAUAUGUUUAAAACAUCCUUACUUAAGUAUCUCAAAAUAUGCAUGGAUCUCUCUGUAGCAUCAAGUUUACAUGGCAUAAAAAUAACAGCAGAACAGGGACUGAAAUCAGCAACAUCACAAAGCCUAGUUUGCAUGCUUGUGAUAGUUACCACAUUGAUCACAAAAAUACAUGGUAAGCACCUCUGUAAAGAUGUCAUGGCCUAGAACAAAACACCUGUAGAGCUCAUGCCAAUAAGAUGCACACCAUAAAUGUAGCAAAAAUGACAAAUGCACACAUUCUGUUAAGAAUCAGAAACUAACAUUAUAUAACACUCUUGCAUCAGAGAUUUGGGCAUCUAACUGACCUCAAAUGAACAUGGCCCAAUGGAACAAAAUGAAGAGCACAACAUGAUGAACAUUUUGAUAUAUCAUAUGCAUGAAACGGAUCUACAGAUGUGGAGAUAUGGCACGAUGAAUAUGGCAUAAAAAUAAUGCAGACUUUGCGAAAAAAACGAGGUCAACCUCUAGGGUUCCAGAUCUGGAUCGGGCUCGCGUGGAUCGAGGCGGGCCGGCAGCGGCUCACUGGAGUUGGUGCGAGAGGAGGCCGGAGACGGGGUCGGGGCCGGUUGGGGCGCCCAGAUCCGGCCGGGGGCGCGGUUGGCGGCGAGGACCGCNNNNNNNNNNNNNNNNNNNNNNNNNNNNNNNNNNNNNNNNNNNNNNNNNNNNNNNNNNNNNNNNNNNNNNNNNNNNNNNNNNNNNNNNNNNNNNNNNNNNNNNNNNNNNNNNNNNNNNNNNNNNNNNNNNNNNNNNNNNNNNNNNNNNNNNNNNNNNNNNNNNNNNNNNNNNNNNNNNNNNNNNNNNNNNNNNNNNNNNNNNNNNNNNNNNNNNNNNNNNNNNNNNNNNNNNNNNNNNNNNNNNNNNNNNNNNNNNNNNNNNNNNNNNNNNNNNNNNNNNNNNNNNNNNNNNNNNNNNNNNNNNNNNNNNNNNNNNNNNNNNNNNNNNNNNNNNNNNGCCGGGGCGGUGCGGUGCGGGCCGCGGGGGCCGGCUUCGGGCCCGGCGGGCUUCAGCCAUGGGAGGCGGUGGCGCGCCACGUGGCACGUUCGGAGUGGCUGGGGCGCGGUGGCGGAUGUGUCCGACUCCGCCCGGACGUGUCCGGCGGCGGAGAGGGAGCGGACUAGGGUUUCAGGAUCCGGAAAUUUCGGAAGGGUGCACAUAUUUAUAGGUAGAGGGAGCUAGGAGACUCCAAAUGGGGUGUAGUUUUCACCCACACGAUCGUGAUCCGACGAUGGAGAGCAUGGAAGUGACUUAGAUGGGUUUUUGGGCUGUUUUGAAGGGGUGUUGGGCUGCAACACACAAGAGGCCUUCGCGGUUACCCGGUUAACCGUUGGAGUAUCAAACGACCUCCAAAUGGCACGAAACUUGACAGGUGGUCUACCGGUGGUGUACCAAGGCCACUUGGCAAGCCUCGGUCCAUUCCGAGAACGUUUAACACCCGCUCACAAAAAGAUACAAGAGGGGUGCGCCGGUGCAUGUAGGAGUGUCGGAUGGCGAAACAGCCAACGGGGAAAAUGCUCGGAUGCAUGAGACGAACACGUAUGCAAAUGAGAUGCACAUGAUGACAUGAUAUGAGAUGCAUGACAUGAACAAAAUGCAAAACGAAAGACAAAACCCAACCACGGAGGGAAUACCAUAGCACAUAGCCGAAAAUGGCAAGAGUUGGAGUUACAAAUAUGGAAAGUUACAUCCGGGGUGUUACAGGCGCGCCUAUAGGAGGAGUCCAAAUAGGAUUCCCAAUCCUAGUUGGGGUCCCUGUCGGCGUUUUGGGAACGGGGGUCCCCAGACUUGCCUGCCUGCGGCCUACGGCGUGGCUCCACUAGUGGCCCAGUACGGCUCAUCUUUGUCAACCAACACUCAAGACCCUCGCAAGGGGCCAAGCCUCAUGGGGUGGACGACACAAGGCCUCCUCAGGAGCGUCCUCACUAGGCAGGCUCGCGAGGAGGCGGAGAGAUCAAGGCAAGGGGCACCUCAUGAUGUUCCCGUGACGCAAGCCAUGACGACCAAGGCCAGGCAGGCGCCAGCGCAUGCAGUGUCCUCGUUUCCCCUUUGGUGCUAAGGGGGCAAGCGAAGGCGCGGAGUACCGAGGCAUCAGACAAAGGUUUCCAUAUCAAUGCAACAAGACCAAGACCAACAGGACGGCAAGACGGAGGUCAUCGUGGAGCCCAAGGCAGCGUCACCACCAGCGCCUUUGAUAGGCGAAGACCACCUUUAGUCAGGAUAGCUGCUACGUCUUGAGGUUGCGUUGGUUUUCCUUGAAGAGGAAAGGGUGAUGCAGCAAUAGUAGCGUAAGUAUUUCCCUCAGUUUUUGAGAACCAAGGUAUCAAUCCAGUAGGAGGCUCCUCAAAAGUCCCACGCACCUACACAAACAAACAAAGAACUCGCAACCAACACAAUAAAGGGGUUGUCAAUCACUUCACAGCCACUUGCGAAAGUGAGAUCUGAUAGAGAUAAUAUGAUAAGAUAAAUAUAUUUUUGGUAUUUUAUAUUAUAGAUUGGAAAAGUAAAGAUGCAAAUAAAAGUAGAUUGAAAGCUUAUAUGAUAAAAGAUAGACCCGGGGGCCAUAGGUUUCACUAGUGGCUUCUUUCAAGAUAGCAUAAGUAUUACGGUGGGUGAACAAAUUACUGUCGAGCAAUUGAUAGAAAAGCGAAUAAUUAUGAGAUUAUCUAGGCAUGAUCAUGUAUAUAGAUAUCACGUCCAUGACAAAUAGACCGACUCCUGCCUGCAUCUACUACUAUUACUCCACACAUCGACAGCUAUCCAGCAUGCAUCUAGAGUAUUAAGUUCAUAAGAACAGAGUAACACAUUAAGAAAUAUGACAUGAUGUAGAGGGAUAAACACAUGCAAUAUGAUAUAAACCCCAUCUUUUUAUCCUCGAUGGCAACAAUACAAUACGUGCCUUGCUGCCGCUGCUGUCACUGGGAAAGGACACCGCAAGAUUGAACCCAAAGCUAAGCACUUCUCCCAUUGCGAGAAAGAUCAAUCUAGUAUGCCAAACCAAACUGAUAAUUCGAAGAGACUUGCAAAGAUAACUCAAUCAUACAUAAAAGAAUUCAGAGGAGAUUCAAAUAUUUCUCAUAGAUAAACUUGAUCAUAAACCCACAAUUCAUCGGAUCUCAACAAACACACUGCAAAAAGUGUUACAUCGAAUAGAUCUCCAAGAAUAUCAAGGAGAACAUGGUAUUGAGAUCCAAAAAGAUAGAAGAAAGCCAUCUAGCUAAUAAUUAUGGACCCGAAGGUCUGUGGUAAACUACUCACAACUCAUCGGAGGGACUAUGAUGUUGAUGUAGAAGCCCUCCGUGGUCGAUUCCACCUCCGGCGGAGCGCUGGCGAAGGCUCCAAGAUGGGAUCUCACGGAUACAGAAGGUUACAGUGGUGGAAAUAGUUUUUCGUUGGCUCCCUGGAUGUUCUCGGGGUACGUGGGUAUAUAUAGGAGGAAGAAGUAGGUCGGUGGCGGCCCGAAGGGCCCAUGAGAUAGGGGGCGCGCCCUGUAGGGGUGGGUGUGUCCUCCACCCUCAUGUCCGCCUUGACUGCUUCUUGACUUGCACUCCAAGUCCGCUGGAUCACGUUCGUUCCAAAAAUCACGCUCCCAAAGGUUUCAUUCCGUUUGGACUCUGUUUGAUAUUCCUUUUCUUCGAAAUACUGAAAUAGGCAAAAAAAACAGCAAUACGUGGAGGGCCUCCAGUUAGUAGGUUAGUGCAAAAAAUGAUAUAAAUGUGUAAAGUAAAGCCCAUAAACAUCCAAAACAGGUAAUAUAAUAGCAUGGAACAAUAAAAAAUUAUAGAUGCGUUGGAGACGUAUCAAGCAUCCCCAAGCUUAAUUCCUGCUCGUCCUUGAGUAGGUAAAUGAUAAAAAUAGAAUUUUUGAUGUGGAAUGCUACCUAGUAUAAUUCUCAAUGUAAUUUUCUUUAUUGUGGCAUGAAUGUUCAGAUCCAAAUGAUUCAAAAUAAAAGUUCAUAUUGACAUAAGAAAUAGUAAUACUUCAAGCAUACUAAUCAAAGCAAUCAUGUCUUCUCAAAAUAACAUGGCUAAAGAAAGUUCAUCCCUACAAAAUCAUAUAGUUAGGCCAUGCUUCAUUUUCAUCACACAAAAUACUCCCAUCAAGAACAACCCCGGUUUCAGCCAAGAAAUUGUUCAUACUUUUUAACGUGCUUCAACCUUUUUCAACUCUCACGCAGUACAUGAGCGUGAGCCAUGGAUAUAGCACUAUGGGUGGAAUAUAAUAUGAUGAUGGAGGUUGUGUGGAGAAGACAAAAAAAGAGAAAGUCUCACAUUGACGAGGAUAAUCACCGGGCUAUGGAGAUGCCCAACAACAUGAGGAGUAGGGAUUGCCAUGCAACGGAUGCACUAGAGCUAUAAAUGUAUGAAAGCUCAACAAAAGAAAACUAGUGGGUGUGCAUCCAACUUGCUUGCUCACGAAGACCUAGGGCAUUUGAGGAAGCCCAUCGUAGGAAUAUACAAGACAAGUUCUAUAAUGAAAAAUUCCCACUACUAUAUGAAAGUGACAACAUAUGAGACUCUCUAUAUGAAGAACAUGGUGCUACUUUGAAGCACAAGUGUGGAAAAGAAUGGUAACAUUGCCCCCUUUUUAUUUAUUUUCUUUUUUCCUUUUUUUUCUUUUUUUGGCCUUUCUUUUUUUCUUUUCUUUUUUGCCUUUCUUUUUUUUCUUUGGCCUUCCUUUUUCUUUUCUUUUUGGCCUUUCUUUUUUGGGGACAAAGAUCUAAUAAUGAUGAUCAUCACACUUCUAUUGAUUUACAACUCAUGAACUACAACUCAAAACUAGAACAAGAUAUGACUCUAUAUGAAUGCCUCCGGCGGUGUACCGGGAUGGGCAAUGAAUCAGGAUUGACAUGUAUGAAAAAUUAUGCAAAGUGGCCUUGCCACAAAUACGAUGUCAACUACAUGAUCAUGCAAUGGCAACAUGACAAUAGUAAUGCGUGUCAUGAUGAUGAACGGAACGGUGGAAAGUUGCAUGGCAAUAUAUCUCAGAAUGGCUAUGGAAAUGCCAUAAUAGGUAGGUAUGGUGGCUGUUUUGAGGAAGAUAUAAGGAGGUUUAUAUGUGAUAGAGCAUAUCGUAUCACGGGGUUUGGAUGCACCGGCGAAGUUUGCACCAACUCUCAAGGUGAGAAAGGGUAAUGCAUGGUACCGAAGAGGCUAGCAAUAAUGGAAAGGUAAAAGUGCGUAUAAUCCAUGGACUCAACAUUAGUCAUAAAGAACUCAUAUACUUAUUGCAAAAGUUUUAUUAGACCUCAAAGCAAAGUACUACUACGCAUGCUCCUAGGGGGGAGGUUGGUAGGAGUUAACCAUCGCACGCCCCCGACCUCCACUCAAGGGAAGGCAAUCAAAAUAGCACCUCAUGCAAUAAAUUUGUUACACAACUUUUACCAUAUGUGCAUGCUACGGGACUUGCUAACUUCAACACAAGCAUUCUUUAAAUUCAUAAUCACCGAACUAGCAUGACUUUAAUAUCACUACCUCCAUAUCUCAAAACAAUUAUCAAGUAUCAAAUUGAUCAUAGCAUCUAAUUCACUUCCUAUGAUAGUUUUUAUUAUACCCAACUUGGAUGCCCACCAUUCUAGGACCAAUUUUAUAACCAUAGAAAAUACCAUGCUGUUCUAAGAGACUAUCAAAAUAAUAUAAGUGAAGCAUGAGAUACUAGUAAUUUCUACAAAAUUAAGCCACCGCCGUGCUCUAAAAGAUAUAAGUGAAGCACUAGAGCAAAAACUAUCUAACUCAAAAGAUAUAAGUGAAGCACAUAGAGUAUUCUAAUAAAUUCCAAUCAAGUGGGCUUCUCCCGAAAGGUGUGUACAACAAGGAUGAUUGUGUAAAACUAAAAAUCAAAUACUAAUAUCAUACAAGACGCUCCAAGCAAAACACAUAUCAUGUGGCGAAUAAAAAUAUAGCUCCAAGUAAAGUUACCGAUAAACGAAGACGAAAGAGGGGAUGCCUUCCGGGGGCAUCCCCAAGCUUAGGAUUUUGGCUAUUCUUGAAUAUCUUGGGGUGCCAUGGGCAUCUCCAAGCUUAGGCUCUUGCCACUCCUUAUUCCAUAGUCCAUCAAAUCUUUACCCAAAACUUGAAAACUUCACAACACAAAACUCAACAGGAAAUCUCAUAAGCUCCGUUAGUGAAAGAAAGCAAAACCACCACAUAAGGUACUGUAAUGAACUCAUUUUUUAUUUAUAUUGUUGCUAAAACUACUUUAUUUCAAGUUCUCUAUGGUUCAUACCACUUAAUACUAGCCAUAGAUGCAUCAAAAUAAGCAAACAACACACGAAAAACAGAAUCUGUCAAAAACAGAACAGUCUGUAGCAAUCUGUAAUCCAUGAAUACUUCUGGAACUCUAAAAAUCCUACCAAAAUAGUAAGUCAUGGGUUAUUUGUCUAUUUGAUCUACAGCAAAAAGAAUCAACACAAAAGCACGUUUCUGUGAUUUAACAAAACUAAUUUCGUGCGCGUAAAGUUUCUGUUUUUCAGCAAAAUCAAAUUAACUAUCACCAUAGGUUAUCCUAUAGGUUCUACUUGGCACAAACACUAAUUAAAACAUAAAAACACAUCUAAAUAAAAGUUAGAUGCAAAAUUUAUUAUUAAAUUGAAACAAAAACAAAAACAC
RNAcentral lists this long non-coding RNA (36574 nucleotides) under Triticum aestivum (bread wheat). Its description in RNAcentral is "long non-coding RNA (TAES_LNC007334)". The record is from RNAcentral. Lineage: Eukaryota; Viridiplantae; Streptophyta; Magnoliopsida; Poales; Poaceae.